UCCAGUCCUCUACCCUUCUCCA
This 22-nucleotide microRNA is filed under the name Solanum lycopersicum (tomato). Its description in RNAcentral is "sly-miR9479-5p". The record is from miRBase by way of RNAcentral. Lineage: Eukaryota; Viridiplantae; Streptophyta; Magnoliopsida; Solanales; Solanaceae.